UACACCAUAUUUCUCCAAUGCCCUGGUGCAUGUCUCAAGUAACUUUUCAUUUCCUAAUAACCCAAGGUAAUUAGCUGAAGUGAAAUUUAUUACUUCCUUGCCAUUAAUAGUUGUAUGAGGACCUGCAGCGCUUUCAAGUACUGGAGGCUCCGAUUUCAUCUCAUCUGUAAUGGUGGGAAUAAGAGGUUCCGGGACCCAUUCAUCACACAGUUCAUCUAUUUCCUUCUUUGUCAAUGGUCUUUUAGGUGGUUUAUAACUUUUCUGUGAUAGUAGGAAAAGGAUGACCACCAGGAGAAGACCCUCAACAAAUAGAUGCCCUCCAAUGUUAACUCCAAACACCACAGCUCUUGCAAACGGAGCUUCGGAUAUCCAUGUGACCCAAUCAGAUGCAUCUCUCAGCUUAUUUGUAAGAACUGAUAUUGUUGCAUCCAUUAUCUAUGUCAAUUGCAGACAGGGCUGAAAGAGUGGUUCUUGAAACUUCAAUGGAGUCUUCAACGAUAAAUUUAUUACCAAAUUCAAGAUUUUAAAUAGA
RNAcentral lists this unclassified non-coding RNA (532 nucleotides) under Hevea brasiliensis (rubber tree). The record is from RNAcentral. Lineage: Eukaryota; Viridiplantae; Streptophyta; Magnoliopsida; Malpighiales; Euphorbiaceae.